CCAAAAGUUAUCUUUGACUAAGAUUAUUGAAAUUAAAACCUCAAGUUCCAGGGGACAAUUAAUAAAUAUAUGUCCAUUUCAUUAAAUGAAGCAAAAAGAAAGAAAAGCUAAAUAUUGAGAUCCAUGAUCAAAUUUAUGUAAUUGGAAAAGAUAUUUUUCUUGACUACACAUUUUGGAGCUACUGAUAUCUCCUGGGAAUGCCAGACCAGGAGUACCAAAAAGAACAAUUUUCCAGAAGUCGUUACACUUUUUUUUUAUUAUAAUGAUUUUGCCUGAAUCAGAUGAACUGUUCUGAUUUUCCUCUAGUGUAGUGACCUUACUAGCAAUGAUUCUUCACUUAUUUUGGCAAAAAUUUUGUUUUGGUUGAAUUAUUUUCAUUAUUUUGAUGUUUAUUAACGUCCUCAUUGGGUAGGGAGAUGUGGGGCUGAGAAGGAACUGCAGUCAAAAAGAAGAGGUUUAACUUGAAUGAAUCAGGUUUGCAUCUUACUAUAAGUGUGUGAUUUUUUUUUUUUUAAAGGAGAAACCAGAGAUUUAAAAAUAGUAAAAGAUGACAUGUUGAAAUCCAAGCCCCCAGUACCUCCAAAGUAACCUUACUUGGAAUGAGGGUCUUUGCAGAAUGUGGGUUUGGACACUAGAACCAUAAGACCAUAAAGUUUUGUUUUGUUAACCCCUAAAAAAAAUUGUUUUUCAUGUUUGCAUAUUUUCCAUCAAUAUUAUAUAUACUAUAGUUUGAAUUUAACUUGAUGAAUAUUUUGAUGUAUAUGAUAUCCUGACCUACCGUUUAUGAUUAUGGAAUAUUCCUAAUAAUGUAAGAUUUAUGGAAGCUCUUCUUAGGAACAUUUUAUUUAGCUGGCUGUCUCCAAACAUCUUCACAGCUUUUGAUUUAACUACUUAAAAUUUUUUAAUGUUAGAAUAACUGAAAACCAAUAUCAUAUAUCUUCAUUAUUGAAGGCAUAAUAUUACUAUGGGUUAGUAAUAUUUGUGGACCAAUGAUUAACAUUACACAAGGAGUAAGCACAAAAUAAGUAACAGUCACAUGAAGAAGUCUUUUACUAGUCCUUCAAGUAUAGCAUUCCAGAAGGGCUCUAAUUAUUCUUCCUAAAACUUCCCCUUUUAAUACUGAAGCACUACCCUGUGUGUCACACUCUUGGCUCACAAUAUUGUUCUCUGGGAUUAGAAUCAAUGUUCUGCUUGGGCCCCACUCAAGAGCUACAAACCACCUUCUCUCUUCUUUCACUCUUUCCCCUCAUCUUGCAAUCAGCAAGUCAUAACAAUUAACUAAUUGUAUCUCCACAAUCACAUUGUGUUUUCUUCCUUUAUCCUUCCCUGUUCUAGUUCAAGUUCAUUAUUUAUUAUGUCUUGUCAGAUCAACCACAGUACAUUUCUCCUAUCUGUCGUCCUACCUACCCCCUUCUACAUCCACAUGGUAGACAACAUUCAAAUGCAGAAAUAGGAUGGCAUCAUUCCCCUUAGGGAAAAACCUUAGCUAGGCACCCAUUGUAUCAGUCAGGGUUUGUGACUGCAGGCUCAGAGAACAAUUCUAGUUUUCUAGUGAUGAAAAUGGAAUCGAAUGCAGAUUUAAUGGAAGGCUGGAGAACCAAAUUUGAAAAAUGUGUGUGGGGAAAGGCCAGUUGGAUGGCGUUUUCGCAGGAAACGUUUGGCCAGGAUGCUGCUGCUGCUGCCAGGGCUGUCAUCAGGAGACAAGAGAGGGCUCUUGGCUUCCGCAGUGUGAGGAGAGGUGUGGCAUCACAUGGACACUACAUGUGGGGGGAUGCCCUAGAUUGUGAGGGACGUGGAUGCUGGGCAGCCACACCAAACAAGCCCCCCACCCUUUCCUGCAUGCAAAACAAACAAAAAACUACACAGGUCAAUUAAUUACUUAAGGCCUAACCUUGUUAGCAUUGCAGUUACACUUCCAUGCUUCCAAGAAAUAUUUAAAAAUAAUUUCUUGCUGAGAUCUCCCCUUCUACUAUGAACCAUUUGUGUUCCCUGCAAAUUCAUAUGUUGAAGUCCUAAUUGCCAAUGGGAUGGUACUAAGAGACAGGGGCUUUGGCGGGUAACUAGGUUUAGAUGAUGUCUUAGGGGUAGAGCACCUCUAAUGGGAUUAGUGUCCACAUAAGAAGAGCAAAGGAGACCAAAGUUCCCUCUCUCUCCAUGCAUGCAAAGAAAACAUCACAUGAGCACACAGUAAGAUGGAAGAUCUCUGCAAGACAGAAAGUGAGUCCUCACCAGGAACCGAAUCUGCCAGUGCCUUGAUCUUGGACUUCCCAGCUUCCAGAACCAUGAGAAAUGUCUGUUAUUUAAGCCACCCAGUCCCUAGCCCUUUGUUCAAGCAGCCAAGCUGACUACCACCUCUUCCAAAAUGUCAGCUAUGCCUUAGUCAUCUUGGACAACUAAUUUUUCUCUCAAGUUGAUACACAAUUUUCACAUUCAUGUCUGGGUACAUGCUGUUCCCUCAACUCUGGAUUUCGCAACUGUGACACUCUUGACAUUAUGGGCUGGAUAAUUUUCUUUAUGAGGGAGGAGUAUCCUUUGCAUUAUAGGAAGUUUAAUAGCCUCCCUGGCCUCUACUUACAAUAAGCACAUCUCCAGUUGUAAAAACUAAAACUGUCUCCAGAUAUUGCCAGUCUUUUCUAGGGAGUAAAUUUACCCCAGGUGAAGACGACAACUAAGGAGAAAUGAUGAAAUGUAAUUUCAGAUCCUAGAAAAAGAAAUCUGUGGAAAAAAUUUGUGAAAUCCAAAUAAGGCCUUAGUUAAUAGCAUAGUAUCCAUUCAAUUUCUUGGUUCUGAUAAUUAUAGCACAUUUAUGUAAGAUGUUGCUUUAAGAAAUGUUGAGUGGGAGCUCCUGGUUUCUGGUUCUCCAGGUAAGAAGCUUGGAAGUUGCCAUGCCAUCUGAACAAUAAGGAAAAGCUGAACAGACUGAAAAAAAUCAAAGACUCU
Molecule: long non-coding RNA, 2940 nt
Filed under: Sus scrofa (pig)
Lineage: Eukaryota; Metazoa; Chordata; Mammalia; Artiodactyla; Suidae
Description: lncRNA (ENSSSCG00050053179.1)
Source: RNAcentral